Non-coding RNA from Camellia sinensis, 772 nucleotides. Lineage: Eukaryota; Viridiplantae; Streptophyta; Magnoliopsida; Ericales; Theaceae. The record is from RefSeq and is a predicted model, not a curated record.
GUUAUUGGGUUUUGAUUAAAAUUAGAAUUUUCUUUGAUUAGAAUUAGAAUUAGAAUUCUAAAAUUAAAAUUAGAAUUAUUUGAUUCAAUUUUAGUUUUUCUGUUAUUGGGUUUUGUGAAUUUUCUUUUUGUUUCAGUGGCUUCAAGGUUCUGAUAAUUGGUCUGUUUUUGUCCGGAGCUGCUCUCCAGUUCUCCAGUCCUCGAUUUUUGCAUCUCGAAUUUUGCUCGCAAGGUGACGUUCAUCAUCUUUUGAAUUUUUUGGAUCUAUCUUUGCACCUUCUUCCAAGGCUGUUUUGGGAGAUGAUGAGCAGAAACUGGUUUAAUGAGAGAAUAAUAGUUUUGGCAUCGGAGAGAGAUUAUGACUUAUUGAGAGAGUUCAUGAAAAGACAAAGAAUUGGACAUUAAUUAAGAAUUGCAGGCAAGUAAUCUUAUUGACACAUUUUUUUUUUCUUUUUCCUUUUUUAAAUGUUGUGACUGAGGAGGAUGAACCAGACACUUCCUGCUAUUGUUGGUCUCAAAGGUGGAUGAAUACUACAAGCGAAUGGUAAUAUUGACUGCCUUUUUACAAGUCUACAUUUGUUCAGGUUUAAGUUUUUCUUAUCUCUCUAAUGAUUUUGUAUUUAUUGUUGUAUAAACUAAACGUGCACUUCUUUGAUUGAUGAGUGUUGAAAGUGGGGCAAUCUCGAGGGCAGAAUUUACGUUAUUUUUGGUUUUAUCGUUGACAAACUUUGAAAAUGAUUGACGUUGUAGAAACUUAUACAGAUUUGGUUUGG